This 339-nucleotide ribosomal RNA is filed under the name Triticum aestivum (bread wheat). RNAcentral's name for it is "partial small subunit ribosomal RNA". The record is from RNAcentral. Lineage: Eukaryota; Viridiplantae; Streptophyta; Magnoliopsida; Poales; Poaceae.
AUCAAUGUUGAGGUUUGCUCAAGCAUAAAAGCUGUGAAGUACCUCUUUAAAUACAUAUAUAAGGGGCAUGAUCGAGCAUCUGUUUCUAUCGACGCGGUGGAUAGUGACGGAAACAUUGAUGAAAUAAAGCAAUACAGAGAUUCCAGUAACGAGCCUAGGGAGAUCAUAGAGGAGUCGACGAUAGGGGUGAACCCAGAACACCUUGGCUUUUCAUCUUUCCUAAACCCAUAACAGAGAUAUGCAUAUGAUGAGAUACUUGCAACAAUCAAUAGUGGCCAAGGAGGUGUGUUCUUUGUUGAUGGACCAGGAGGCACUGGAAAGACUUAUCUAUACAAAGCA